Molecule: long non-coding RNA, 101 nt
Organism: Hydractinia symbiolongicarpus
Lineage: Eukaryota; Metazoa; Cnidaria; Hydrozoa; Anthoathecata; Hydractiniidae
Exons: 3
Source: RefSeq, a predicted model, not a curated record
UUUCAGUUAAUACGUCGAGAGUCGAUGUAUUAACGGAGGAAGAUAAAGAGGAAGAAAAAGAAGAAGAGGAAAAAAUUCCAGUCUUCACGCCAAUAAGAAUA